This 807-nucleotide ribosomal RNA is filed under the name Triticum aestivum (bread wheat). Its description in RNAcentral is "partial small subunit ribosomal RNA". The record is from RNAcentral. Lineage: Eukaryota; Viridiplantae; Streptophyta; Magnoliopsida; Poales; Poaceae.
AUGGGGAGGUCGCCGUGCUGCGAGAAGGCGCACACCAACAAGGGCGCCUGGACCAAGGAGGAGGACGACCGGCUCACCGCCUACAUCAAGGCGCACGGCGAGGGCUGCUGGCGCUCCCUGCCCAAGGCCGCGGGGUUGCUCCGCUGCGGCAAGAGCUGCCGCCUCCGCUGGAUCAACUACCUCCGCCCCGACCUCAAGCGCGGCAACUUCAGCGAUGAGGAGGACGAGCUCAUCAUCAAGCUCCACAGCCUCCUGGGCAACAAAUGGUCUCUGAUAGCCGGGAGACUCCCAGGGAGGACGGACAACGAGAUCAAGAACUACUGGAACACGCACAUCAGGAGGAAGCUCACGAGCCGGGGGAUCGACCCGGUGACCCACCGCGCGAUCAACAGCGACCACGCCGCGUCCAACAUCACCAUAUCCUUCGAGACGGCGCAGAGGGACGACAAGGGCGCCGUGUUCCGGCGAGGCGCCGAGCCCACCAAGGUAGCGGCAGCGGCAGCGGCGAUCACCCACGUGGACCACCAUCACCAUCACCGUAGCAACCCCCAGAUGGACUGGGGCCAGGGGAAGCCACUCAAGUGCCCGGACCUGAACCUGGACCUGUGCAUCAGCCCCCCGUCCCACGAGGACCCCAUGGUGGACACCAAGCCCGUGGUGAAGAGGGAGGCCGGCGUCGGCGUCGGCGUCGUGGGCCUGUGCUUCAGCUGCAGCAUGGGGCUCCCCAGGAGCGUGGAGUGCAAGUGCAGCAGCUUCAUGGGGCUCCGGACCGCCAUGCUCGACUUCAGAAGCAUCGAGAUGAAAUGA